UUGGUUAAAGCCAAAAAGAGGCAUAUCACUGUUAAUGAUAGAAAUGAAGUUUUCUUCUAACCAAG
RNAcentral lists this transfer RNA (65 nucleotides) under Solenocera crassicornis. RNAcentral's name for it is "tRNA-Asn". Lineage: Eukaryota; Metazoa; Arthropoda; Malacostraca; Decapoda; Solenoceridae. RNAcentral also lists the same sequence under 1 other name. The record is from RNAcentral.